Molecule: long non-coding RNA, 350 nt
Organism: Xiphophorus hellerii (green swordtail)
Lineage: Eukaryota; Metazoa; Chordata; Actinopteri; Cyprinodontiformes; Poeciliidae
Exons: 4
Source: RefSeq, a predicted model, not a curated record
GGGAGAUGUCAAGAGUAUUUGUAAUAGCUCCUAUAAUUGUCAUGUUGGAUUUUAGUUUCCUUGCCCACAUGCAGGUGUGCACAGAAGAACAGACUUUACUGUUAAGAGGGUUUGUUUUUAAUCAGUUAAACGAUUGUUCAGGAAUCGAGAAUAGAGGACGUCAGAAGGGGAACGAGGGUCCAGGUAGGUUCGGGGGUCCGGGACAGCAGCGGAUCGGAACGGCUUGGUAGGUGUUAUGUUUGGAAGCUAGGACGAGGUAGAAGCUCAAGUAGACAAAGAACCCUUAACAGCUUUUAUUCAUAACUCGCUCAGCAGUACAGUAACAUCAAGUAUUCCUUUCCUCCAUGUUA